AUACGGAGGGGGCUAGCGUUGUUCGGAAUUACUGGGCGUAAAGCGCGUGUAGGCGGAUCGUUAGGUCAGGGGUGAAAGCCCGGGGCUCAACCCCGGAACUGCCCUUGAUACUGGCGAUCUAGAGUCCGGAAGAGGUGGGCGGAAUUCCCGGUGUAGAGGUGAAAUUCGUAGAUAUCGGGAGGAACACCAGUGGCGAAGGCGGCUCACUGGUCCGGCACUGACGCUGAGACGCGAAAGCGUGGGGAGCAAACAGGAUUAGAAACCCGAGUAGUCC
RNAcentral lists this ribosomal RNA (274 nucleotides) under uncultured bacterium. RNAcentral's name for it is "partial 16S ribosomal RNA". It matches the Rfam family "Bacterial small subunit ribosomal RNA", at positions 523 to 796 of the family's 1533-position model. The record is from RNAcentral.